AUUGAACGCUGGCGGCAGGCCUAACACAUGCAAGUCGAGCGAGCGGCGGACGGGUGAGUAAUGUAUGGGGACUGCCCGAUAGAGGGGGAUAACUACUGGAAACGGUUGCUAAUCCCGCAUACUGUCGGAUCACCCAUGUGGGAUUAGCUCGUGGGUGAGGUAAUGGCUUACCUAGGCGACGAACCCUAGCUGGUCUGCGAGGAUGAUCAGCCACACUGGGACUGAGACACGGCCCAGACUCCUACGGAGGCAGCAGUGGGGAAUAUUGCGCAAUGGGCGCAAGUCUGAUGCAGCCAUGCCGCGUGUAUGAAGAAGGCCCUAGGAUUGUAAAGCACUGUCAGUCGGGAGGCGUUACCGACAGAAGAAGCACCGGCUAACUCCGUGCCAGCAGCCGCGGUAAUAC
This 403-nucleotide ribosomal RNA is filed under the name uncultured bacterium. Its description in RNAcentral is "partial 16S ribosomal RNA". It matches the Rfam family "Bacterial small subunit ribosomal RNA", at positions 30 to 526 of the family's 1533-position model. The record is from RNAcentral.